GAUGAACGCUGGCGGCGUGCCUAAUACAUGCAAGUCGAGCGAACAGACGAGGAGCUUGCUCCUCUGACGUUAGCGGCGGACGGGUGAGUAACACGUGGAUAACCUACCUAUAAGACUGGGAUAACUUCGGGAAACCGGAGCUAAUACCGGAUAAUAUAUUGAACCGCAUGGUUCAAUAGUGAAAGACGGUUUUGCUGUCACUUAUAGAUGGAUCCUCGCCGCAUUAGCUAGUUGGUAAGGUAACGGCUUACCAAGGCAACGAUGCGUAGCCGACCUGAGAGGGUGAUCGGCCACACUGGAACUGAGACACGGUCCAGACUCCUACGGGAGGCAGCAGUAGGGAAUCUUCCGCAAUGGGCGAAAGCCUGACGGAGCAACGCCGCGUGAGUGAUGAAGGUCUUCGGAUCGUAAAACUCUGUUAGUAGGGAAGAACAAAUGUGAAAGUAACUAUGCACGUCUUGACGGUACCAAAUCAGAAAGCCACGGCUAACUACGUG
This 497-nucleotide ribosomal RNA is filed under the name uncultured bacterium. RNAcentral's name for it is "partial 16S ribosomal RNA". It matches the Rfam family "Bacterial small subunit ribosomal RNA", at positions 28 to 507 of the family's 1533-position model. The record is from RNAcentral.